UAAUCAUUUGUCUUUUAAAUGGGGACUUGUAUGAAUGGUAUAACGAGGGCUUAACUGUCUCCUCCCUCUUGUCAAUGAAAUUGAUCUCCCCGUGCAGAAGCGGGGAUACUCUCAUAAGACGAGAAGACCCUAUGGAGCUUUAGAUACUAAGGUAGACCAUAUUCCAUAACCCCUUGUUAAAGGAGUAAAUCUAUGCUAAUCCUACCCCUAUAUCUUCGGUUGGGGCGACAAUGGGGAAAUAAAAAUCCCCCAUGCGGAACGGGAAAAUUUUAUCUAAGAAAUUAUUCUUACCAUAAAGCUACUUCCCCAAAUUAAGAGUGACAACUCUAAAUUACAGUAUUUCUGACCAUAAAUGAUCCGGCAUUUGCCGAUNAACGGACCAAGUUACCCUAGGGAUAACAGCGCAAUCCCCUUUUAGAGCCCA
Molecule: ribosomal RNA, 424 nt
Filed under: Coryphaena sp. WJC-2007
Lineage: Eukaryota; Metazoa; Chordata; Actinopteri; Carangiformes; Coryphaenidae
Description: partial 16S ribosomal RNA
Rfam family: Bacterial large subunit ribosomal RNA
Source: RNAcentral